Molecule: microRNA precursor, 102 nt
Filed under: Marmota monax (woodchuck)
Lineage: Eukaryota; Metazoa; Chordata; Mammalia; Rodentia; Sciuridae
Source: RNAcentral
AUUGGAAUUACUGGAUCAUAUGGAAAAUUCAUGUUUCCCUUUUUAAGAAAUUGCCAAACUGUCUUUUAAAGUAUUGUGCCAUUUUAUAUUCCCACCAGCAAU